Molecule: small nuclear RNA, 159 nt
Organism: Myodes glareolus (Bank vole)
Lineage: Eukaryota; Metazoa; Chordata; Mammalia; Rodentia; Cricetidae
Product: U1 spliceosomal RNA
Source: RefSeq, a predicted model, not a curated record
AUACAGACCUGACGGGGAUACAGCUACCAAGAAGGUGGGCUUCCUGGAGUGAUUUAUCCAUUGCACUUGGGAUAUACUGACCCUUGUGAUUUCCCCAAGUUCAGGAAACUUGACUGCAUAAUUAGUGGUAGUUGGGGACUGUGUUCCUGCUCCCCCCCC